GAUCAUGGCUCAGGAUGAACGCUAGCUACAGGCUUAACACAUGCAAGUCGAGGGGAAACGAUAUUGGAAGCUUGCUUCCGAUAGGCGUCGACCGGCGCACGGGUGAGUAACGCGUAUCCAACCUGCCCAUCACUUGGGAAUAACCUUGCGAAAGUAAGGCUAAUGCCCAAUGACAUUUAUAGAAGGCAUCUGAAAUGAAUUAAAGAUUUAUCGGUGAUGGAUGGGGAUGCGU
Molecule: ribosomal RNA, 232 nt
Filed under: uncultured bacterium
Lineage: Bacteria
Description: partial 16S ribosomal RNA
Rfam family: Bacterial small subunit ribosomal RNA
Source: RNAcentral